UUGUUAUCCACGAGAGCCUCAUUUCUGACACCCUUCCACCCCUCAGCAAUUUGUUGAAGUUUGGAGUGACUCUGACAUCUUUCAGCUUUUAGCACUCUCUCCUUACCUUCUGAGCUGUUCUUCACUCUGUGGCCAGAGUCCGUCUUGCCUUUGGUGGGUAGGGCACUGGAGUGCCUGAGGAUUAAUGAACUGUCUCUGUCUUUUUAUCCACCUGGUUUUCCUUUUAGCCACCUGGCAGUGGUAGAUUGGUAAAACCGGAGGGAAAGUUCUGUCAGUUUGCAGACCAAGUGUGGGACGUGCCCAGAUACUGAGUCAUUGCUUUGUCAGUGUUAUCUAACUAUUGGCCUGAAGACUGGCACCAGCUCACCUAUCUAUUAUUAAAGAGCUUUCAUCCUUACAUAUAAACUCAGUUAUGCUAGGUAAGAUGAAUGAAUAGAGAACAGUGUCACCAACCUACUUCCUGUUUUAUUUCAGUGGUACAUUUAUACAAUAUAUUUCUAUACAAUUUUGUAAUCUUUACUAAGGAACUUUAAAUAAUUUAAAUGGCUCAUACAUAGUGAAGAACUUAGAUAUUUUAGAGGUCUGAUUUGGGGGUUGGGAAAAACUGCUAAGACUGGUGGUCACAGCCAGCAUGGUGGCUCACGCCUGUAAUCCCAGCACUUUGGGAGGCCGAGGCAGGUGGAUCAUGAGGUCGGGAGUUCAAGAUCAGCCUGGCCAACAUGGUGAAACCCCGUCUCUACUCAAAAUACAAAACUUAGCCAGGCGUGGUGGCAUGCGCCUGUAAUCGCAGCUACUUGGGAGGCUGAGGCAGGAGAAUGGCUUGAACCUGGGAGGCGGAGGUUGUGGUGAGCUGAGAUUGCACCACUGCCCUCCAGCCUGGGCAACAGAGAGAGACUCUGUCUCAAAAAAAAAAAAAAAAAAGCCAAAAAAUUGGUGGUCACAGGGUCUUACUCUAUUCAUAUCUUCCCACAGGAUGCGGUUUGUAUUACCCAAGUAAGCCUCAAUUAGAAUGAAAUAGGCCUUUUCCCCACCAGCUGUAGGUUUGUAAGCUGUAAGCUACUUUUAAGCUGGCCUCCUUCAGGCAUUCAUGCAAAAAUGACAUCUAUUGUAAUCAUUAGCAGGACUUUGGGGAAUAAGAAAUAGAAGCCUCGUGUAGCUUAUUAGUAGGGCUCUAUUAGGCCUGCAUUUACCACCUUUCCACUCCUGUGUGGACCCUGGCAGAUGCUUGGAGACAUUUGUUCAUCUGCUCUUUAUCUAGAUCACUUCAGCAUCGGUGAGGUUGGUCUCUCAAGAACCUAAAGCUCUGGUCAGUGAAUGGAAGGAGCCUCAGGCCAAGAACAUCAGUGUGGCCUCCUGCAACAGCAGCCAGGUGGUGGUGGCUGUGGGCAGGGCCCUCUACUAUCUGCAGAUCCAUCCUCAGGAGCUCCGGCAGAUCAGCCACACAGAGAUGGAACAUGAAGUGGCUUGCUUGGACAUCACCCCAUUAGGAGACAGCAAUGGACUGUCCCCUCUUUGUGCCAUUGGCCUCUGGACGGACAUCUCGGCUCGUAUCUUGAAGUUGCCCUCUUUUGAACUACUGCACAAGGAGAUGCUGGGUGGAGGUAUGUGUCAUUUAGGGACCUGGGUUGGGACAGAGUCAAAAUGUGGAACAAGAACAUAAUGUCCCCCUUUCUCACAGAGAUCAUUCCUCGUUCCAUCCUGAUGACCACCUUUGAGAGUAGCCAUUACCUCCUUUGUGCCUUGGGAGAUGGAGCACUUUUCUACUUUGGGCUCAACAUUGAGACAGGUGAGAGUAGUAUUUUGAGUGAGGGACUCUUUCAAAAAUAGAGUAUUAGAAUUACACAGAAUUCUUAGUCCCAGGGUUCUGCUUUUGAACUUUCACAGGCCAGCUGUUUGUCCUGUUUUCUUUCUUCCUUUCUCCUGAUGUCAUUCUCUCUGUAGGUCUGUUGAGCGACCGUAAGAAGGUGACUUUAGG
This 1975-nucleotide small RNA is filed under the name Pongo abelii (Sumatran orangutan). RNAcentral describes it as "retained intron". Lineage: Eukaryota; Metazoa; Chordata; Mammalia; Primates; Hominidae. The record is from RNAcentral.